This 734-nucleotide ribosomal RNA is filed under the name uncultured marine eukaryote. RNAcentral describes it as "bacterial SSU rRNA". It matches the Rfam family "Eukaryotic small subunit ribosomal RNA", at positions 615 to 1353 of the family's 1831-position model. The record is from RNAcentral.
GCGGUUAAAAAGCUCGUAGUUGGAUUUCUGGUCUGAGCGUUUAGUCCGGCGCUGUGCGUUGUGUACUUGAAUGACUUGGACCUUCCUUGUAGGGAAUAUGUGUGGUCUUAGUUGAUCGUGCAUGGGAACUGCAUCGUUUACUGUGAAAAAAUUAGAGUGUUUAAAGCAGGCAUUUGCUGUGAAUACAUUAGCAUGGAAUAAUAAGAUAGGACUUUGGUACUAUUUUGUUGGUUGGAGGCCAAGGUAAUGAUUAAUAGGGAUAGUUGGGGGUAUUCAUAUUUAAUUGUCAGAGGUGAAAUUCUUGGAUUUAUGAAAGAUGAACUUAUGCGAAAGCAUUUACCAAGGAUGUUUUCAUUAAUCAAGAACGAAAGUUAGGGGAUCGAAGACGAUCAGAUACCGUCCUAGUCUUAACUAUAAACCAUGCCGGCUAGAGAUCGGAGGUUGUUCGUUUUGUGACGCCUUCAGCAUCUUGAGAGAAAUCAAAGCCUUUGGGUUCCGGGGGGAGUAUGGUCGCAAGGCUGAAACUUAAAGGAAUUGACGGAAGGGCACCACCAUGAGUGGAGCCUGCGGCUUAAUUUGACUCAACACGGGGAAACUUGCCAGGUCCAGACUGGGUAAGGAUGUACAGAUUGACAGCUCUUUACAGAUUCUCAGGGUGGUGGUGCAUGGCCGUUCUUAGUUGGUGGAGUGAUUUGUCUGGUUAAAUCCGUUAACGAACGAAACCUUACCUGCUA